This 33190-nucleotide long non-coding RNA is filed under the name Hordeum vulgare. RNAcentral describes it as "long non-coding RNA (HVUL_LNC007706)". The record is from RNAcentral. Lineage: Eukaryota; Viridiplantae; Streptophyta; Magnoliopsida; Poales; Poaceae.
AUGCUUUCCUGCAUGGCUUCGCUUCAAGAACAACAAAAAAAGGAAAAGAAAAAGAACUGUUAUUUUCUAUGAUCACAACACAUGGUCUAACCUUGGGUGCUAGCCAUACUACACAUUUUUUCGCUCAGAUCGGGAUGCCCUUCACACAUACAAUCCAAUCUAAGGGGACAUGUUACGUAUUCUUUUCCAACUACAAGUAUUUCGAUACAGAGAGAGUACAAGCAUUAAGAGAUACCUCAUACUCAUCAAUUUAUAUCAACACUACCCGUAUGUACGCACAUAUGAGGUAUGGAUAGUUGUCUGAUCAACCAAUUAGACUCGACCACCCUCAUCUUCCUUGAUUUCCUAGUUACAAUUUGCCACAAUUUCUUCAUUGCCAUGGUUGCGUNNNNNNNNNNNNNNNNNNNNNNNNNNNNNNNNNNNNNNNNNNNNNNNNNNNNNNNNNNNNNNNNNNNNNNNNNNNNNNNNNNNNNNNNNNNNNNNNNNNNUUUUAAAGGCAUGUGACAUUGUACUACGAGAGUUAUGCUGCACACACACUAUAUCCCACGAGACUCAAGUUGGGUGCGGCCGACCAACCUGAGGAUCGAGUCUCCUCGUGAACUAGUCCAGAUGUCAAGUGUGUUUCGCCAACGCCGAGGUGUAGGUCGGCAAAAAAGAUGUCGAGUGGCGCGUCAGAAAAGAACUCCUGAGCUAAAUUAUUACGCUGGGGCACCUCAGUCAUGAGGAUGCCCCGCCUACUUAAAAGGAAAUAUAGAACUAGAUUAAUGGUGUCUAAAGCACGAAAACCAAAAGUUACAUUUGAACUAAAUCAAGUUUCUUGGUGGCAAUCCGAAAAUCGGUCUUAAAAUUACUUUGUGCUUCCGUCGUGCUUUAACAUGACACAUCCAAUCUCAAGAUUUCAAGCGGGUCAGCCUUCGGCUUCAACUUCCAUAUCCUAAAGGCGGAGUGUUUCUCCGAGGUCGGCUUAGCGAACUAAACUCGAGCGAAUUUAGAAACUAACCAGGCAAUCCGGCUAUCGACCACACACUCGAGUCGAGAAAGGAGCAGUNNNNNNNNNNNNNNNNNNNNNNNNNNNNNNNNNNNNNNNNNNNNNNNNNNNNNNNNNNNNNNNNNNNNNNNNNNNNNNNNNNNNNNNNNNNNNNNNNNNNCCAAACUGCACGAUAUAGCCACCCUAUUCACUAGUGAGGAAAAGAUCCGCCACUACUAUAUGCUCAAGUUGUUUCCUUUCUCGCUAAAGGAUGAUGCUAAGACCUGGUUCACUUCUCUUGCUCCUGGAUGUGUGCGUAGCCCCCAGGAUAUGGUCCCCUGUUUUUGAUAUGUUCCUAGAGAAAACUAAAGUUGAAAGAUGAUAGUAGCAAUUAUGCGGACUGGGUCCAUAAACUGAGGAUUCCUCAUUGCUGCAUAGAAGGCUUAUGUCCUUAAUGCACCGCUCGGUGUGCUAUCCCAAGGAUUGUUUGUGGAUGUUGCGAUCAUCUCACAUACAUGUUUUUGAUGACUACGUGAUAGUUCAGUGCAUCAUGCUUUAUGGCUUAGAAUUGUGGCGCCCAAGACGUUUUGAAUGUCACGGAAGAUAUGAGAUGUUCCAAGAGCUAAAAUUAGGAUUUCAGGCUCGUGCCCGUGUUGACAGGUAUGAGACCUCCGACAAGAUUCUUUGUCCGCAAAGUAAAGGAGAAAUCUCAAUUGUUGAGUAUGUGCUCAGAUUGUCUGGGUGCUACAAUUACUUGAAUCAAGCGGGAGUUGAUCUUCCAGAUACUAUAGUGAUUGACAUAGUUCCCAAAGUCACUGUCACCAAGCUAGUGAGCUUCGUGAUGAACUAUAACAUACCAGGGAUAGAGAUGAUGAUCCCUGAGCUAUUCACGAUGUUUGACACCGCGAAGGUAGAAAUGAAGUAGGAGAAUCAAGUGUUGAUGGUUAGUAAAACCACUAGUUUCAAGAAGGGCAAAGGGAAUGAAGGGAAACUUCGAGAAUGACAAGUCAAUUAUCACUAAAUGAAGAAACCCAAGGUUGAACCUAAACCCGAGACUAAGUGCUUCUAUGAUGAGGGGAAUGAUCACUAAAGCAGAACUGCCCUGGACACUUGGUAGAUAAGAAGGCUGGCAACAUCAACAAUAGUAUAUUUUAUAUACAUAUUAUUGAUGUGUACUUUACUAGUACUCCUAGUAGCACAUGGGUAUCAUAUACCGGCUUAGUUGCUAAAGGUUAGUAACUCAAAAUAAAAGCUACGGAAUAAACAGAGACUAUCUAAAGACGAGGUGACGAUGUGUGUUGGAAGUGUUUCCAAGGUUUAUGUGAUCACAAUUGCACGCUCCCUCUACCUUUGGGAUUAGUGUUAAAGCUAAAUGUUGAUUGGUGUUUGCGUUGAGCAUGAACAUGAUUGGAUCGUGUUUAGUGCAAUACGGUUAUUCAUUUAAAGAGAAUAAUGGUUACUCUGUUUACUUGAAUAAAACCUUCAAUGGUCAUGCACCUAAUAUGAAUGGUUUAUUGAAUCUCGGUCGUAGUGGUACACAUGUUCAUAAUAUUGAUGCCAAAAAUACAAAGUAGUAAUGAUAGUACCACUUACUUGUGGCACUGCCGCUUGAGUCAUAUUGGUAUAAAAAUGCAUGAAGAAGCUCCAUGCUGAUGGCUCUUUGGACUCACUCGUUUUUUGUUUGAGACAUGCGAACCAUGCCUAUUGGUGUAAACGCAUGAAGAAACUCCAUGCAGAUGGAUCGUUUGGACUCACUUGAUUUUGAAUCACUUGAGACAUGCAAAUAAUGCCACAUGGUCAAGAUGACUGAAGGCCUCAUUUUCCAGUGAGAGGGAACGAGCAAAUGACUUAUUGGAAAUAAUACAUUUUGAUGUAUGCAAUCCAAUGAGUGCUGAGGCACGCAGUGGAUAUUGUUAUGUUCUUACUUCACAAAUGAUUUUAGUAGAUACACGUGUAUUUACUUGAUGAAUCAGAAGUCUGAAUUAUUGAAAAGGUUCAAGCAAAUUCAGAGUGAAGUUGAAGAUCGUCAUGACAAGAGGAUAACAUGUCUAUGAUGUGAUCGUAGAGGUGAAUAUUCGAGUUGCGAGUUUGGUAUUCAUUUAAGACAAUGUGGAAAUUGUUUCACAACUCAUGCCACCUGGAACACCAUAGUGUGAUGGUGCGUCCGAACAUCAUAGCCACGCCCUAUUGGAUAUGGUGCAUACUAUGAUGUCUCUUGAAAAAUUACCACUAUCACUUUGGGGUUAUGCAUUAUAGACAACCACACUCACCUCGUAUAGGGCACCAUUUAAUUCCGUUGAGAUGACACCAUAUGAACUAUGGUUUAGAGAAACCUAAGUUGGCGUUUCACAAAGUUUGGGGCUGCGAUGCUUAUGUCAAAAGGCUUUAGCAUGAUAAGCUCGAACCCAAAGAGGAUAAUUGCAUCUUCAUAGGAUACCCAAAGGAAUCAUUUGGGUAUUCCUCCUAUCUUAGAUCCAAAAGCAAAGUGUUUGUUAAUGAAAACAUAUCCAUUCUCAAGAAAGAGUUUCUCUCAAAAGAAUUGAGUGGGAGGAUGGUGGAACUUGAUGAGGUUGUUGAACCAUCACUUCAAAUAGAGUGUAGCAGGGCGGAGGAAGUUGUCCCUGUGGUGCCUACACUAAAUUGAAGAGGAAACCAAUGACGAUGAUCAUGAAGCUUCAGAUCAAGUUACUUCUAAACCUCGUAGGUCGACAAGGACACACACUACUCCAGAGUGGUACGGUAAUCCUGUCUUGGAGGUCAUGUUGUUGGACAACAAUGAACCUACGAGCUAUGGAGAAGCGAUGGUGGGCCCGAAUUCCGACAAAUGGCUGGAGGGCAUGAAAUGUGAGACAGGAUCCCUGUAUGAAAACAAAGUAUAGACUUUAGAAGAACUACUUGAUGGUCGUAAGACUAUUAAGUACGAAUGGAUCUUUAAAAGGAAGACAAACGAUGAUGGUGAAUGUCACCAUUUAGAAAGCUCGACUUGUUGAAAAGAUGUUUCUGACAAGUUCAAGGAGUUGAUUACGAUGAGACUUUCUCACCCAUGGCGAUGCUAAAAUCUGUUAGAAUUAUGUUAGCAGUUGCUGCAUUUUUCAAUUAUGAAAUCUUUGAGAUGGAUGUCAAAACAUCGUUUCCUCGACGGUUUCCUUGAGGAAAGGUUGUAUUCUAACUUUCUUAUUCCCAUUUUGCACAUUAGAUUUACUACAUGGAAGCUGGCAUUGAUGGAGUGCUUUAAUUUUUGUUUUCAUUUGAGUUGAUGAACAAUGUGGAACUAUAUGUAUGUAUAUAUGGAUGAACAAUGUAAAACUUUGUAUGUUGGUUCUUUCGAUCUAUGUGUUGUGAUUGAUGAACAAAUGGCAUUGAUGAACUUUAUAUGUAUAUUAUACAUGUGUUGUGAACUAUAUAUAAUAUGUGUUGUGAAAUUUACGUAUAUCAUAUAAGUACUGUGAAAUAACAUAAAAUAAACAAAACAGUGACAAUAUGGGCUCUUUGUCGUCUGCCAGCUCAUGGCAAAGGCCUUUGCCAUCAGUUGGUAGAUGGCAAAGGGGACACGUGGAAGAUAGCUGUGCAAACUGGGCAACAGGCGGCUGGCCCAUAUGGUACUUUGCUGUCUGCUGCCCCGGAGAGCAGACAACAAAGGGUUUAACAAAGCAGACGGCAAAGGUUUUUAAAGAGGCAGACGGGGGGGUACUUUGCCGUGUGCUGCCCCGGAAAGCAGACGACAAAGGUUUUAAAGAGGCAUACGACAAAGGUUUUAAAGAGGCAAACGACAAAGCUUUUAAAUAAGGCAGACGGUGUAGGUUUUAACAAAGCAGACAACAAAGAGCUUAAAGAAGGCAAACAACAAAGAACUUAAAGAAGGCAGACGGCAAAUGCUCCGUUAGCCACCUAACGGAGUAGUUACCUGCCGGCUGCCGUCUAAACACCUUUGUCGUGUGCUUGCACCUUUGGCUGAUGGCAAACCCAUUUGUCGUCCGCUUUGCCUAGGCAGAUGGCAAAGAAGGGCAUUUACCGAUGAUAAUAGUCGUAGAAGUUUUGCCGACAGGAGGCUGAUGGCAAAGUCCUUUGCCGAUAGUGGAACACCCCUUUGUCGUCUGCUUUGGCAUACGACAAAGAAGCUGAUUCUUGUAGUGUAUAAUGCUUACAAAGGUAAUUUCAACACUAGACCAUACCCCAGUAAUUCCUCUAACAACUAUGGCAACUCUUAUGGUAAUUCCUAUGGAAAUUCAUAAAAUGAUAAUAAUAGGAUACCUACUGAUCUUGAGGCUACCAUUAAAGAAUUCAUUAGUUCUCAAUAGAUUUUUAAUACUAUGGUAGAGGAAAAGUUGCAUAAAGCUAAUGAUUUGGCUAGGAACAUGGAUAUAGUUGCUCUUGAUGUGGAAACACUUAAAAAUAAAAUUUUCCACCAAAGCAUGAUAUCAACCAGUCCAUUGAAUUCAUCCAAAUAUCUAUCGAUGAGAGUAAGGAGAGGAACGUGAGGUUAAGAGCCAAAUGAGAAUUCUUAGAAAAGGACCUUCCAUCCGGUUUUUAUCGUAAUCAUGAUGAAGAUCAUAAGAUGUUGGUACGUCUCCCAUUGAACCUUUGUUUACUAAUAUGAAAGUAUAUGAUAAAGGGACUGCAUAUGAGUCAACUUUAGCUAGAAGGUGUCCCAUUUGCUUGGAGGGUGAUGAUUCUAAUGUUAAAACUAAAAAAAAGUAGGGUUUUGAGAGGUCAAAACUUUAACUGGUGAUGUGCCCACUAUCUUGGAUUACAAGGACUUUAAUUAUGAUUGUUUCUCUUUCGUAGAAUGCAUUUCCUUCCUGGAAUCCAUUAUUAUCUCACCCAAUGCUUAUUAACAAAAUAAAGCUUUUACUCAACAUAUAGUAGAAGCAAUGAUAAAAGCUUAUGAUGAGAAACUUUUGCUAGAAGUUUCCAUUCCUAGAAAGUUGCAUGAUGAAUGGGAACCUACCAUUAAAAUUAAUCACAAAUAAUAUGAAUGCAAUUCUUUGUGUGACCUAGGUUCUAGUGUUUCAACUAUACCUAAAUCUUUAUGUGAUGUACUUGGUCUCAUCGAUAUACAUGAGUGUUCCCUUAAUCUACAUCUUGUGGAUUCUACUAUCAAGAAACCUUUGGGAAGAAUAAAUGAUGUUCUCAUACUUUCUAAUAGAAAUUAUGUGCUUGUAUAUUUCAUAGUUCUUGACAUUGAAUGUAACCCAUCUUGCCCAAUAAUACUUUGGAGACCUUUCUUACAAAGUAUAUGUGCAAUUAUUGAUAUGAAAGAGGAAAACAUAAGGUUCCAAUUUCCAUUAAAGAAAGGGAUGGAACACUUCCCUAGUAAGAUAAUUAAACCACCUUAUGAAUCUAUCAUUAGAGCUACUUAUGGGUGGAUUGUGAAGGAUAACAACACUUGAUACUAUGCAAAAUGCCUAGCUAGGGGCGUAAAACAAUAACGCUUGUUGAGAGGCAACCCAAUAGUUAUCUUAUUUGAUUGCUUUUAAUUUCUGUUUGUUUUUUAUAACAUGAUUAUGGCUACUGUAAUUAUUGUAUUUGUAUGUUUAAAUUAGUUUUUGUGCCAAGUAAAGCCUUUGGGGUGACUUGCAUAAAAAGUAGAAUUGAUACGGUGCAAAAAUAGAAACUCCAGCGUCCGGUGCAGAAUUUCUCUGAUUUUACUCGAAUGUCUUCCUGAUCUGGAGUUUCUACACAAUAUAUCUAUACAAAUUCCCGAGGUCUUCCUAAUUUUCAGCAUUAUUGGAGUUAUAGAAGUAGGAUGUCUUUGCUGAUCACUACACACUGUUAUCGGUGUCAAAACCGGCGGAUCUCGAGUAGGCGGUCCGAACUGUGGAUCUUGGAUCGAUGGGUAACAAGGGAUGAAGGAGAUGAUGUUUUACCCAGGUUCAGGCCCUCUUGAUGGAGGUAAAACCCUACGUCCUCCUCUUGUUUAUAUUGAUGAUGGAGUAUCGAGUACAGAGUUGAUCUACCUCGAGAUCUUAUGUUGUGGUCUAAACCCUAAUGUUGUAGAUGUUAUGUCUAAUGAAUAUCUAUCAACUAGCCUGGCCUCGGCGUAUAUAACACACCAUAGGCCUAUGACAACAAGAGUCCUAGUCGGCUACGUCGGUGGAGAGGAGUCCUUGUCUUGAUCCCCAAGUCUUGUGGAAUCUUCCUCGUAUAUGUCAUCGGCUGCCCGAAGUAGCCCAAGAGUCCGACCCGUAAAGAUAGGCCGGCGGCCUGAGGACCCCUUAGUCCUAGACUCCCUCAGUUGCCCCCGAACUGGCCGCCAAUGUUGUAGUCUUGAUCCUUAGUGUCAUGCAUCCAAAGUCUUUGCCUUGCGGGGCGAGUUCUUCUCCCAUUUAUGUUCGGCCAACACCACUUCGGCCGUCGAUGACAUCCUAAUUUCCAAGAAUAGGUCUUGAAGUUGGGCAUGCUCCUUGGUUCUUCCGAACUGUUCUCCAUCUUCAAUCGUCAGUCUUGAAAACCAUUUCAACAAAUCUUCCCAUCACUUAUCUCCAGGAUCGUUAGGGUGAAUCUAAAAAGUUAUCACGUCGGGCAUCCGAGAAGCCCCUUUAAGAUAUCCUCCUUUAUUAAUGUCUUGUAAUUUUUCACGCCGCACCUCGGGCUUUAAAUGCUUCCCGUGCGGCGGUAUCCUCUUGCAUACGAGUUCCAAUGCUGAACUGCAUUUGAGGUGUCCUCUUGCGUCCGAGUUCCAACGUCGGACUGCAUUUGAGGUGUCUUUUUGUAGCCGAGCUCCAACGCUGGUCGGCAUCCAAGGUGGCAUAUAUUACCUCGGUCUGUUGAAAUUUGAAGGAAUUCAUCACAACUUAAAUGCGAGAAUAGUCUUUUAUGGAGCGAGCCAUUCACAUCUGAACUAUAUGCCAGACUGCUUCCGAGGUGGUGCACCACCUCAGCCUAGGGCUGAUUGUUUUGUGGAUAUAUAGCCAGUAAGCCUCAAGGUGCGUGUCGGUCUAAAAACUGAGAUGCACCUAAAGAAAAAAAAUCGCUGAUCCCAAUAGCCCCUGAGACUCAGGUCGAUUCGCGAAAUCGGCCUGAGGAUCAAUUCCUUGCUCAGAAACAAACUUUAGGAAUUAAAAUGCAGUGUGUAGUAGCCCCCGAGACUCAGGUUGGGCGCGGCCGACCAACCUGUGGAUCAAAUCUUCUAGGAAACCGUAUUGCACUUGUUGUGUGUGUUUUGACAGUGCCAAGGUCCAGGUCGGCAGGGAAGAUGCCGAACCGCGGGUCGAAAAAGAUUUUUCAUUUGGUGUAAUUUAUUCUCGGACGAGCUGUAUAACCAGUUGCCCCAGAGACUUGGGUUGGGCAACAUGGCCGACCCUAGGAUCGUAUCUCCUCGAGAACUAUUUCAUCCAUUAAGUAUGUUUUGACAACACCAAGGUGGAGCUCAGCAGGGAAGAUGCCAAACUGUAGGUCGAGAAAAAUUCUCCGAGAAGAAUCACCAUGCAGAACACCUCGAACAAGAGGAUGUCCCACCUCCUGAAAGAAAAAACAUAUAAAUAGGGUAAUGGUGCCAUAAGAUCGGCAAUACCAAAAAAACUUUAGCAAAAAUAUUACGUUCCAAAACUAAAUCAAGUUUCUUUCAGGUGUGCAGUAGCCUCCGAGACUCACGUUGGUUGCGGCCGACCAACCUGAGGAUUGAAUCUUCUCAGAAACUGUAUUCCACUUUGAAUUUGUUGCAUUGAAUAAACAAUGCAGUAGCCCCCGACCCUUAAUUUGGGCACGUGUGAUUGAAUUAUGGAUUGAUAUUUGUUUAACACAAAAUUCGUUACGUCUCACAUUAUUUAUGUGUAAUGAUUUUAUGUAUCCAAGUACUUUACAUCAUUAAUGCUCGAAUACGCAUUGUACAACACUUUGUUGACCGACCAUCUCCUUCGACCUCCUCGGCCAGUAGCGGAGGAGUGUUUGUCCAACUUUAUAAAGCAUUUAUAAAGGCAAAGAUUUAUGGCAAACAAGGCAAUCCGGCCAUACGGUUUUAUAAACAAAGGUGCGUGGAGAGAUUACUUAUUUAACGCAAAAAAACAUUUUCUUGAAAAAAUAGUUCAUUUAUAAGUUCCUUUUCCGAGGAUAUCAUGUUUGACCAUGAUCUUGAAACCUCAAUUCCGAUCAAUGUGGGAGGAAAAUAUUGAGGAUUUAGUUCGGGGAAUGUUCCCGAACUCUGUGGUCUUUAAUGAACCAAAAAAUUCACUUUCGUCAUUGCCGACCAAUUAUAUUCUUAAGAUGGCCAGCUUUCGUCUUCACCCAGUCUGAGGUACUAACUCGGAUGAACCGAAAGUAACAAUCACAGAGGUGCUCCCUUUACCCCCUGGCCGAACAAUCGGGAACGUAGGGGGUAAUCACAUGAGCCAUGCAACCCAGCUUGUCCAAAAUCUUAAGUCAAAUUGAUGCAUAUUUAUGGCUUUAUAAUGAUGAUUAUGGAAGGCGACACUCUCAUAUUGAAUACAAAUGCUUUUAUGAUAUAUGUUAUUUAGACUCCAUUGCAACUGUUUAUAAUGUAAAAGUGGCCCAUCAUCGGCUUUCACCCCUUUGUAGAUACUAUGCACGGUGUUUCCGUACUAACCAGACAACCCUUAUCCGACGUCUCAAUGCUCGGAGGUGGUUGUGUUAGCGGAAACGAGGCAAUCAGAUAUCUAGGCUUUAUAACUUUCACUUAGUCAUAGGAGCUUAAAGUUUGGGAGGCCAGUUACUAGCCCCUCGUUAGUGUUCGGCAUCAGCCGAGGUCAAGCCAAUAACUCUCUGACCAAAUUUAUGAAAGGCCCACAGGGUAAGCUCUAUCGGCCUAUAGGUUGACAUUGUCAUCGGAUCGCUCACUAGUUUGCGCCCCUUGUGACAAUCAGUUUUUGGCUUUAUCCACUAAGCUACUUGACAAGUUAAAUUGGAAGUACAAUCACAAUGGUUCUCCCUUUGCACACCUAGCCGAACAAAGCGGAAUAUAGGAGGCAAUCACAGGAGUCGGGCAACCCAACUAUUGACCGAAGACACAAUGCAUAUAAAGCAAUAUCUGAGAAUGUUUUGUCAAGGACUCCUCGGAGUAUCUUGGCUUUUGGUGGGUUCGGCUCGAGUUGCAGUCCCCCAUUUAUAUUGUCGAUAUUUUAAAGGCAUGUGACAUUGUACUACGAGAGUUAUGCUGCACACACACUAUAUCCCACGAGACUCAAGUUGGGUGCGGCCGACCAACCUGAGGAUCGAGUCUCCUCGUGAACUAGUCCAGAUGUCAAGUGUGUUUCGCCAACGCCGAGGUGUAGGUCGGCAAAAAAGAUGUCGAGUGGCGCGUCAGAAAAGAACUCCUGAGCUAAAUUAUUACGCUGGGCACCUCAGUCAUGAGGAUGCCCCGCCUCUUAAAAGGAAAAUAUAGAACUAGAUUAAUGGUGUCUAAAGCACGAAAAACCAAAAAAAGUUACAUUUGAACUAAAUCAAGUUUCUUGGUGGCAAUCCGAAAAUCGGUCUUAAAAUUACUUUGUGCUUCCGUCGUGCUUUAACAUGACACAUCCAAUCUCAAGAUUUCAAGCGGGUCAGCCUUCGGCUUCAACUUCCAUAUCCUAAAGGCGGAGUGUUUCUCCGAGGUCGGCUUAGCGAACUAAACUCGAGCGAAUUUAGAAACUAACCAGGCAAUCCGGCUAUCGACCACACACUCGAGUCGAGAAAGGAGCAGUAGAAAAAGACUUUGCAACGACCAAGAAGAAAACAUUUAUUACAAAACGACUCAUAUAAAUUUUGAAGAGCCCCCGGUAACAUGGGCAAAGAAAGUGUUUUUAGCAAACAAUGCUCUUAACAAGCUAAGUUUUUAACAAACAACUUAUUUGCUUAACACAAAUAUAAUGGUUGGUUGAAUCAUAUAUAAAUUAAAAAUUGAAAAAAGUUGAGCAUGCAAGCGACUUAGCUGGUUAAUGUGCUCGGUGUUGAUGACGAUGGCCGAGCUUGUGGCGAGUCAAGGUCACAUCCCCCAAGCCGGUCACGAGGUAGCCGACGAAGAGCUCAGCAUGACGAAGUGGCAACAAAACACUUCGGAAGGGCCAAGGUGAAACCCGCGGUCCAGCCGAGGACAUGGAGUAGGACGGCAAUGUAACAGUGAACCCCCAUGUCAGUCGACCAUGUCGAUGAUUGAUAACCCACAAGUAUAGGGGAUCGCAAUAGUUUUCGAGGGUAGAGUAUUCAACCCAAAUUUAUUGAUUCGACUCAAGGGGAAGCGAAAUAAUAUUCUCAAGUAUUAGCAGUUGAGUUGUCAAUUCAACCACACCUGAAAGAUUUAGUAUCUGCAGCAAAGUAUCAGUAGCAAAGUAGUAUGAUAGUAGCAGUAGCAGUGACAGUAGUAGCGGCAAAGUAACGUAGCAAGGACCAGUAGGAAAAACUCGUAGGCAUUGAAUCGGUGAUGGAUGAUUAUGUCGGAUGCUAUUCAUCAUGUAACAGUUAUAACACGGAGAGAUAAGUAACUAGCUCCAGUUCGUCAAUCUAAUGUAGGCAUGUACUCCGUAUGUAGUCAUACAUGCUUAGGGAAAAGAACUCGCAUGACAUCUAUUGUCCAUCCCUCCCGUGGCAGCGGGGUCCUAAUGGAAACUAAGGGAUAUUAAGGUUCUCCUUUUAAUAAAGAACCGGACCAACGCAUUAACACUUGGUGAAUACAUGAACUCCGCAUACUAUGGUCAUCUCCGGGAAUGGUUCCGGCUAUUGUGACUCCGGGGUUGCCGGGUCAUAACACAUAGUAGGUGACUACAACUUGCAAGAUAGGAUCUAAAACACACAUAGAUUGGCGACAACAUAAUAGGUUCAGAUCUGAAAUCAUGGCACUCGGGCCCUAGUGACAAGCAUUAAGCAUGGCAAAGUAGUAGCAACAUCAAUCUCAGAACAUAGUGGAUACUAGGGAUCAAUCCCCGUCAAAACUAACUCGAUUACAUGAUAGAUCUCAUCCAGCCCAUCACCGUUCAGCAAGCCUACGAUGAGAUUACUCACGAACGGUGAAGAGCAUCAUGGAAUUGGCGAUGAAGGAAGGUUGAUGAUGAUGAUGACGAUGAUCUCCCCUCUCCGGAGCCCAAAACGAACUCUAGAUAUGCCCUCCACAUGAAGAACAGGAGGUGGCGGCGCCUCCGUAUCGUAAAACGCGAUGAACUCUUCUCCUUGAUUUUUUUCCGGACGAAAGAGGUUAUAUAGAGCUGGAAUUGGGGGCGGCGGAGCUCCGAGGCUUCAGAAGCCUGCCAGGCCCGACCAGGGGGCGGGCCUGUUGGGCUUGUGAGCUCCUGGCUCCGUCGCUCCAGUUGAUUCUUGCGCCGGUAUUUUUUAUAUAUUCCACAAAAAAUUCCUCGUAGAUUUCCAGGUCAUUUCGAGAACUUUUUUUACUGCGCAAAAACAUCAUCAUGGCAAUUCUGCUGAAAACGGCGUCAGUCCAGGUUAGUUCCACUCAAAUCAUGCAAAUUAGAGACCAAAACAAGGGCAAAAGAGUUUGGAAAAGUAGAUACGACGGAGACGUAUCAAUGAUGCAAUUCGGUUGAAGGGGCAUGACGACGACGUCGGCGCGCCGAGGUGACUAUCUAACAUGAUCGGAGAUGAUCACCUGUGCACAUAAAAUAGUGCAAGCCAAAAGUAAUAUCAAAUAAUAAUAAAAAUCCUCUACUUAAUGAAUUUAAGUGAAGUAAAUAUUUUAAAAAAAUAUAGCCUGAGCAUCGAGGUGCCCUAGCGAAGAGAUCGGCUUGAUGAAGUCGCAAUGCGGCACGAUCGAUGUGGCAAGGUGAAGCCCUCCAAUCUAGCUGAGGUGAUGAAGAUGGUCGGCUGGUGACGCCCAAGUCCUUGGAGCAGGUUGAUGAAGAGAUGGCAAAGCCCCCGGUCUAGCCAAGGUGACAAAAUAUAUCGGUAUGGUGACUUAGAUCCCCCAUGCGAGUCAAUGGGUCAAAGCAGGUCAGCGUGUUAAAAUGUCGUCUUGAAGAAGCGACGGCACGACGAUACCUAUACAGGUCAGAAUUUAUGACGCGGUCAAUGCUGGCUUGAUGAAGCAGCGGUACGCCCGACCCGUGCAACCCAUGGGGUGGCGAGGUUCUCUUAAUGAGUAUUUGGCACUCUCCAUGCCGAAAUCUUGGUUGGCUCACCGAGGUGAUGAUCCGAUAAGGUUGACCUCGGCUCAACCUACCGAUGAUUUGUCUAGCACAAGUCGACAGCCGUGGAGCAGCGUUAUCGAGCUCGUUUGACACCAACGCAAUGGUGAAAAUAGGCUUGGAAAAAGGCUUAAAAUUUAUGUUCAGGUGUUUUGAAACAACACAUAAUAUAUUUAAAAAAAUACUUCAAAAAGGAUGUCCAAAAUCCCAUUCAUGGAGAAGAUGAACUCGGGUUGGGUUCGUUUUCGCGAAGAAAACAGGUCCAAAAUUCAUUGUACUCAUCGAAAGUUUUCCGGAGUUUGGACGGUUGGAUCAAGCUGCAAUUUUGAGGGGUGAUUGAUAUAGGAAUUGUGAGCCGAUGAACGGUGGGAUUUUCCAAAGGACGUUCGAGCUGGAUAAUGGACCCCUCGUCCUAAACUCAUUCUGAUUUAUGUCCAGAUACGAUAGGGCUCCGGUAUAUCGGAGAUUCCUUCAUCGGAAAGCGAAGAAAUUUUGCGGGGUUGUUGUAGAUAUAAUUCCGCAAAGUUCCACUAAAGCAAUCGUUGAAGCGACGCUCAAGGAAGCGGGGACAGCGAACACAGAUUCGCUAUCUAGAAAAAAAUUGCAAUCAAUCUGCCCACGAACCAUCAAUCCUUCUGUCGAUCACACCGUAGAGCUCUCAGUGAAAGCACCAAUGUCGAUGUCAAAACUGACGAAUCUCAAGUAGGGGGUCUGAACUGUGGAUCUUUGAUCGAUGGGUAACAAGGGACGAAGGAGACGUUGUUUUACCUAGGUUUGGGCCCUCUUGAUGGAGGUAAAACUGUACGCCCUGUUCUUGUUUAUGUUGAUGAUAGAGUAUCGAGUACAGAGUUAAUCUACCUCGAGAUCAUAUGUUGCUGCCUUUUGUGCAAGUCGGUACCAUUGAGUUUAUGAUCCUCUCAUUCUUAGAGGAAGCACCCAGAACACACACUUCAUUGCCAAAACCAUUUUUCUGAGAGAGAGUCACCUACUCAUGUGUUGAGAUCAAGAUAUUCCAAUCCAUCCAUUUGAAACUUGAUCUCUAGCCUCCCCAAGUUGCUUUCCACCAAAUCAAUCUCUCCUACCCAUGUCUAUUCUAGUGUUGAGGAGACUGUCUUUAGAAGCACAAGAGCAAGAGUCCAUUGUUCUACCACAUCUAUUACCUUUUUGGAGGGUGGUGCCUUCUAGAUUGGUUAGGUGUCGCUUGGAAGCCUCCUACUUCGUGUUGUGGAGUUGAACCAAGAUGUAUGUAAGGGCAAGGAGAUCACCUACUUCGUGAAGAUCUACCGUGAGUGAGGCUAGUCCUUCGUGGACGGAAGUCGUGGUAUAAUAGACAAGGUCGCUGAUGACCCACAAGUAUAGGGGAUCAAUCGUAGUCCUUUCGAUAAGUAAGAGUGUCGAACCCAACGAGGAGCAGAAGGCUCUGAUAAAUGGUUUUCAGCAAGGUAAUAACUGCAAGCACUGAAAGUAGCGGUAACAAGUGAUGGUGUAGUGAGGUGAAACGUAGCAGGUGAAAAGUAACAAGUAACAAGUAAUAGCAACACUGCAACAAAGUGGCCCAAUCCCUUUUGUAGCAAGGGACAAGCCUGAACAAAGUCUUAUAGGAGGAAAAACGCUCCCGAGGACACACAGGAAUUUCUGUCAUGCUAGUUUCAUCAUGUUCAUAUGAUUCACGUUCGUUACUUUGAUAGUUUGAUAUGUGGGUGUACCGACGCUUGGGUACUGCCCUUACUUGGACAAGCAUCCCACUUAUGAUUAACCCCUCUCGCAAGCACCCACAACUACGAAAGAACAAUUAAGACAACGUCUAACCAUAGCAUUAAACUAGUGGAUCCAAAUCAGCCCCUUACGAAGCAACGCAUAGACUGGGGUUUAAGCUUCUGUCACUCUAGCAACCCAUCAUCUACUUACUACUCCCCAAUGCCUUCCUCUAGGCCCAAAUAAUGGUGAAGUGUUAUGUAGUCGACGUUCACAUAACACCACUAUAGGAAAAACAACAUACAACAUAUCAAAAUAUCGAACGAAUACCAAAUUCACAUGACUAUUAUUAGCAUGACUUAUCCCAUGUCCUCAGAAACAAAAGUAACUACUCACAAAGCAUAAUCGUAAUCAUGAUAAGAGGUGUAAUGAGUAGCAUCAAGGAUCUGAACAUAAACUCUUCCACCAAGUAAUCCAACUAGCAUCAACUACAAAGAGUAAUCAACACUACUAGCAACCUUACAAGUACCAAUCGGAGUCGCGAGACGGAGAUUGGUUACAAGUGAUGAACUAGGGUUUGGAGAUGAGAUGGUGCUGAUGAUGAUGUUGAUGGAGACCGAGUCCCCUCCGAUGAGAGGAGUGUUGGUGAUGGCGAUGACAACCGAUUUCCCCCUCCGGGAGGGAAAGUUUCCCCGACAGGAUCGUCUUGACGGAGCUCUAGAUUGGUUCUGCUCAAGUUCCGCCUCGUGGCGGCGGCGCCUCCUCGAAAAAGCUCCGCCUUGAUUUUUUUCCGGACGAAACCCUUCAUAUAGCAGAAGAGGGGGCCAGUGGGCCACCAGGGUGCCCACAAGCCCUAUAGCCGCGACCAGGGGGCAUGCCGUGACCACCAGGCUUGUGGGCCCGUGGCAGCUCCCCUCUGGCACUUCUUUCGCCCAGUAUUUUUUAUAUAUUCCCAAAAAAUUCCACGUUGAUUUUCAGGGCAUUUGGAGUUGCACAGAAUAGAGGACUCAGACUUGCUCCUUUUCCAGUCCAGAAUUCCAGCUGCCGGUAUUCUCCCUCUUCAAAUAAACCUUGCAAAAUAAGAGAGAAAAGGCAUAAGUAUGGUACCACAAAGUAUAAUAACAGUCCAUAAAGCGAUAAAUAUCAACAUGAAAGCAUGAUGCAAAAUGGACGUAUCAACUCCCCCAAGCUUAGACCUCGCUUGUCCUCAAGCGAAAACCAAGAUCCAUAAACAUGUCCACAUGUUUAGGGAUGAAGGUGUCGAUAAAACAUAAUACGGACAUAAGGGCAUCAUGAUCACACAUAGAACAUCAAUACAUCAUAAAGAUUCUUAUGGGAAAGUAACAAUUCCUUCACAAAGCAAAGUAUGAAUCAAAAACCUUACCGAGAGGUAGCCAACAACAGUCCAUAGUCAUUGAAGCAAUUGCAAUUUAUCAUAACAUCAGAAAGAGUCAAAUAAGAGCUUGUAAAGCAAAUCCACAUACUCAAUCAUCUCUUUUGUUUUCCACAAUUGUUACAACUCACGUGGUACUCAUGGUGUCAAAGUUUCAGCUGGACACAGAGAAAGAUAGGGGCUUAUAAUUUUGCCUCCCAACCAUUUACCUCAAGGGUAAAGUCAACAAUAAUAAAGCAUAAGUACUCAUCUCCAAGUUGAUAUAUGAAUAUAGAUCUUUCCCUAGCAUAUGACGUUCACCAAGAUGAAGACGGAAUAGGGAAUUGGUGUUGAUCACCAUGACUUUCACAAGGACAAAAGUAAAGGUACAAGAUAGGCCCUUCGCAGAGGGAAGCAGAGGUUGUCAUGCGCUUUUAAGGUUUGGAUAUACGACCUCUUAGUAUAAAGGAACGUCACUUUAAAUUGCCCCCUGUGACAAAGAACUUUAUUAUGUAGUCUGUCGCUUUUAUGUCUUCCUCAUCACAGGUUCGUACAAAGCUUAUUUUCCACACACUAAUAAAUCAUACAUACUUUAGGUAGCUAACUUUUUAUUGCUUGCACCGAUGACAACUUACUUUAAGGAUCUUACGCAAUCCAUAGGUAGGUAUGGUGGACUCUCAUGGCAAAACUGGGUUGAAGGUUUAUGGAUGCACAAGUAGUAUUUCUACUUAGUACGGAAGUUUUGGCUAAUAUGAGGUGGAAGCAAUCGUCACAUGCUAAGGGAUCUCUAGACAUAUACCAUUGUUUGGAACCAAGCAAACACAAUUCAUUAUGUUGUCUUCCUUGUCCAACAUCUACUUCUAAGCAUGUAAUAGUUUGGUGAGUGCUCACAAUUAUAGAAAGUGUCUAAGAUGAUAUAUUUAUAUGUGAACCUCUAUUUCCUUAUUCCUUAUUAUUAAUUGCAACAAUGACUGGGGUCUAUGUUGGUCUAUUCUCAACAAGUUUCAAUCAUCAUACUUGUUAUAUGUGAAGCUAUCACUUUCCAUAAGAUCAUCUCAUGAUCUUUCAUGCUAUCGUUCUUUUCAUACUUUUGAUCACGGCACAAAACAAAGCCCUUGACUAAGAUACUCUUUAUUAUAUAGCUCGCAAGCUCGAAUACAUCGGGGGAGACACAAGGCAAAAGACUCAAACUAAACACUAAAGACUUAACCCACUAAGAGAAGAAAGUAAAAACUGAAAAAGAAAGAACUAAAACAAAGGUAAAAGCAAAAGAUAUAAAGGUGAUACGAUACCAGGGCAACUCCCCCAAGCUUGGCACAAGCCAAGGGAGUUUCCCAUACCAAUGCUUAGUUGUCUUACUUUGGUGGUGAUGGUGGUGGAGUCUUUGCAGAGGUCUUGAGCUUGUUUAAUUUCCAAUGGAGCAUGAAAUUUUGCUCCCUCAGAUCGUCGUUUUCUUCUUCAAGCUUCAACACCCUUUGGCAUAAUUCUUGCUUACUCUCCUGCAGGAAACGAGAAGGGAUAAAGAAAGUCUUAUGCUUCUUCCUGGAGUUGGCGAGGCUUGACUUCUUGAACUCCACAUGGGUGUUUGCAGGUUGAGGUAGAGGAGCCUCCUCUUCAUCGGAACUCGUUUGUUCCUUCCCCUUGGGAUCAUAGUCUUCUUCCUCAUCGGUGGUCCAGCCAUAUGGUUCCAAGUCCCCAUAGACCUUGGGGUUAGCAAGGUAAUCAGCCACAUAGCUCUCCCCCUCUGAAUCCUGAGGAGACAUCUCGACCUAGAUCUGCGACAGAAAAUAGGCUCGAAAGGAAAAACAGAGGAAAUCUGCGUGAUACGGGGUCAAAACCCUCGGGCGUAUAUAUAAUGAUUUUUUCUGGACCAGAAGGAGUGCUCCGCAAGAAAGCGGAGUCCGGGAGGCACACGAGGUGCCCACAAGCCCUGUAGCCGCGGUCAGGGGGGGGGGCGCGGCUACCAAGCUUGUGGCCGCCUCGUGCGCUCUCCGGACUACUUUUUAUUUUUCUAUUUUUCCAUAAAUUACAAAACGGAGAAAAAUUCCUACUGGAAAAGUUUUGGAGUCCAAUUACUUACCGAAACACAUACCUCUUUGUUUUUAGAGUCUGAAACAGGCUGAUAAACAUCCCUUAUGUACUCCUCCGGAGUUAUGAUAUUGAUGAUAUUGCUCUCAACAUUUAUGGGAGUACCAGAGAUAUAAUGCUUGAUUCUUUGCCCAUUUACCACUCUAGGAAAUUUACCUUACGUGUUAUUGAUUUUGAUGGCACCGGAACAAUAUACUUCCUCGACAACGUAGGGACCUUCCCAUUUAGAGAGAAGCUUGCCUGCGAAGAAUCUUAAGCGAGAAUUGUAUAGCAGGACAUAAUCACCUACAUUGAACUCACGUUUUUGUAUUCUUUUAUCGUGCCAUCUCUUAACCUUUUCCUUGAACAACUUGGUAUUCUCAUAUGCAUGGGCCCUCCAUUCAUCUAAUGAGCUGAUAUCAAACAACCGCUUCUCACCGGCAAGUUUGAAAUCGAAGUUGAGCUCUUUGAUUGCCCAAUAAGCUUUGUGUUCUAGCUCAAGAGGUAAAUGACAAGCCUCACCGUAAACCAUUUUAUACGGCAACAUGCCCAUGGGAUUCUUAUAAGCAGUCCUAUAAGCCCAUAGUGCAUCGUCAAGUUUGCUAGACCAAUUCUUUCGAGAUCUAUUGACACUCUUUUGUAAGAUCAAUUUGAUCUCCCUAUUACUCAACUCCACUUGACCACUAGACUGAGGAUGAUAAGGAGAUGCAACUUUAUGGUUGACAUCAUACUUAGCGAGCAUCUUGCGGAAAACACCAUGAAUGAAGUGUGAACCGCCAUCAGUCAUCAGAUAUCUAGGGACUCCAAAUCUUGGGAAAAUGACUUCUUUAAGCAUCUUAAUAGAGGUGUGGUGAUCAUCAUUUCUAGUGGGGAUAGCUUCUACCCACUUAGUGACGUAAUCAACAGCAACUAAGAUGUGAGUAUACCCAUUGGAACUCGGGAAGGGUCCCAUAUAAUCAAAGCCCCAGACAUCAAAUGGUUCAAUGACAAGUGAAUAGUUCAUAGGCAUUUCCUGACGUUUACUGAUGUUCCCUAUUCUUUGGCAUUUGUCACAAGACAAGACAAACCUACGGGCAUCCUUGAAGAGAGUGGGCCAAUAGAAACCUGAUCGCAAUACCUAAUGAGCAGUUCUAUCUCCAACAUGGUGUCCUCCGUAGGCUUCGGAAUGACACUUCUGCAGGAUCUGUCCCUGUUCAUGUUCAGGCACACAACGUCUAAUAACACCAUCUACACCUUCCUUAUAAAGGUGAGGAUCAUCCCAAAAGUAGUGUCUCAAAUCAAAGAAGAAUUUCUUCUUUUGCUGGUAGGUGAAACUGGGUGGUAUGUAUUUGGCUACGAUAUAGUUUGCGUAAUCAGCAUACCACGGUGCACUAUGUGAAGUACAGAUGACAUUCAAUUGAUCAUCAGGAAAGCUGUCAUCAAUAGGUCGUGGGUCAUCAAGGACAUUCUCUAGCCUGGACAAGUUAUCUGCUACAGGGUUAUCAGCACCCUUUCGGUCAACAACGUGCAAAUCAAAUUCCUGUAGCAGGAGAACCCAUCUGAUUAGCCUAGGCUUAGCGUCCUUCUUCUCCAUAAGGUACUUAAUAGCAGCAUGAUCAGAAUGAAUAAUGACUUUUGAGUCAACUAUAUAAGAUCUGAACUUUUCACAUGCAAACACGACUGCUAAAAAUUCCUUCUCCGUAGUGGCAUAAUUUCUUUGGGCACUGUCUAGAGUUUUACUAGCAUAGUGAAUAACAUUCAACUUCUUGUCAACUCUUUGUCCUAGAACAGCACCAACAACGUAAUCACUAGCAUCGCACAUGAUUUCAAAGGGCAAGUUCCAAUCAGGUGGUUGAACAAUAGGUGCGGUUAUCAAGGCCUUCUUAAGUAUUUCGAAAGCUUCCUCACAAUCCUCACCAAAAACAAAAGGAACAUCCUUCUGCAAGAGGUUGGUAAGAGGCCUAGAAAUCUUAGAGAAGUCUUUAAUGAACCUUCUAUAGAAACCAGCAUGACCUAGGAAACUUCGUAUACCUCUGGUAUCUUUGGGGCAAGGCAUUUUCUCAAUUGCAUCACCCUUAGCCUUAUCAACUUCAAUGCCUUUCUCAGAAAUUUUGUGUCCUAAGACGAUGCCUUCAUUAACCAUGAAGUGGCACUUCUCCCAGUUCAAGACGAGGUUGGUAUCUUUGCAUCUCUGUAAGACUCGAUCAAGGUUGCUGAGGCAAUCGUCAAAGGAAGAACCGUAAACGGAGAAAUCAUCCAUGAAAACCUCAAUAAUCUUUUCACAAAAGUCAGAGAAUAUUGCCAUCAUACUUCUUUGAAAGGUGGCAGGUGCAUUGCAUAAGCCAAAAGGCAUAAGUCUAUAAGCAAAGGUACCGAAGGGGCAGGUGAAAGUGGUUUUCUCCUGAUUAGAUUGUGCAACAGGUAUUUGCGAGAAACCUGAAUAACCGUCUAGAAAGCAGAAGUGUGUGUGUUUAGAUAGCCUUUCUAGCAUUUGGUCAAUAAACGGCAAAGGAUAAAGGUCUUUCCUGGUUGCCUUGUUCAGUUUCCGGAAGUCUAUCACCAUCAUAUAGCCAGUAAUAAUCCUCUAUGGGAUUAGUUUAUUCUUAUCAUUAGGAACAACGGUGAUACCUCCCUUCUUGGGUACGCAAUGCACUGGACUUACCCAAUCGCCAUGAGCAACAGGAUAAAUGAUUCCUGCUUCCAGAAUCUUUAAUAUUUCUUUUCUCAUGACCUCUUUCAUCCUAGGAUUUAAUCUCCGUUGAUGAUCAGCAACUGGCUUAGAAUCUGGAUCGGUUUUAAUCUUGUGCUGACAUAGAGUGGGACUAAUACCCUUAAGAUCAUCCAGAGUAUAUCCAAUAGCAGCACGGUGCUUCCUUAGAGUUUUUAGUAACUUCUUUUCUUCGUGAUUCGAGAGGUGAGCACUAAUAAUAACAGGAUAUAUCUCCUUCUCAUCAAGAUAGGCAUACUUAAGUGUAUCUGGUAACUGUUUUAGCUCGAGCACAGGAUCACCCUUUGGUGGGGGAGGAUCCCCAAGCAGUUCAACAGGCAGAUUAUUCUUAAGAAUAGGGUAUUGUUCUAAAACAAUUUUAUCUAUCUCAUCUCUUUCAUCCAUAUGCAUAUCAUUUUUAUGCUCAAGUAGAUAUUGCUCUAAAGGAUCCGUAGGAGGCACGACAAUAGAGGCAAGAGCAAUGAUUUCAUCCCUACCAGACGACUCUUUUUUCAUGGGGUUGUCUUCCAAACUUGGAGAAGUUAAAUUCAUGAGACACACCCUCGAAACUAACAGUGACAGUCUCUUUAACGCAAUCAAUAUGAGCAUUGACAGUGUUGAGAAAGGGUCUACCAAAUAUGAUGGGACAAAAGCUAUCUUGUGCAGUAGCAAGGACGAGGAAAUCAGUAGGAUACUUUGUCUUACCACACAGGACUUCUACGUCUCUCACAAUUCCCACAGGGCAGAUAGUGUCUCUAUUAGCUAGCGUAAUAGUGACAUCAAUGGGUUCUAACUCAGCAGGUGCAAUCUCAUCUUUGAUUUCAUCAUAAAGGGACCGGGGUAUUGCACUAACAAUAGCACCCAUAUCACAUAAACCAUGAUAACAGUGAUCUCCUAUCUUGAUAGAAACAACGGGCAGGCCAACUACAUGUCCGUAUUUGUCUUUCGCAUGAUGUUUAGCAAUUCUAGCGGAGUCCUCACAGAAUUUGAUAACAUGCCCGUCUAUGUCUUCGGCUAAGAGUUCUUUGAUAAUAGCAACACCAGGUUCAACUCUAAUUUCCUCUGGGGGUGCAAGUGGUCUAAUGUAACCCCUACGUAUCAUAGUUGGAGCUUUAGAAUAAUCCUUUUUCCUAGCAGGGUAAGGUGGUUUCUCAGUGUAGGCACAAGGAACAAUAGGAUCAUUAUAGGCAAUGACUUUCUCUUCAACUAGAUUGGGUUUAACUAUGUUGACUUCUACAGGAGGAUGAUACUUAAACCACUUCUCUUUGGGAAGAUCAAUAUGAGCAGCAAAAGAUUCACACAGAGAAGCUACUAUCUCAGAGUCAAGUCCAUACUUAGCGCUAAAAUCUCUAGAAGUGUUUGUUUCAACAAAAGAUUUAACGCAAUCAAACUGGAAUUUCAUACCUGACUCCUUACCUUCUUCAAGCUCCCAAUCUUCAGAGUUACGUUUGAUUAUUUCCAAUAAAUUCCACUUGUGGUCAAUAUCCUUCUUCAUAAAAGAACCGGUACAAGAAGUGUCAAGCAUGGUGCGAUCAUCAUGAGAAAGCCGAGCAUAGAAGUUCUGAAUGAUAAUUUCUCUCGAGAGCUCAUGAUUGGGGCAUGAAUAUAGCAUUGAUUUAAGCCUCCCCCAAGCUUGAGCUAUGCUUUCCCUGUCACGAGGCCAAAAGUUAUAAAUAUAAUUCCGAUCACGAUGUACUAAAUGCAUAGGACAGAACUUUUGAUGAAAUUCCAAUUUCAACCGAUUGUAGUCCCAUGAUCCAGUAUCAUCACAUAGCCUAUACCAUGUCAACGCCUUAUCCUUCAAAGAUAAAGGAAAGACUUUCUUCUUUACCUCAUCCUCGGGCAAGCUUGCAAGCUUAAAUAAACCACAAACUUCAUCUACAUAGAUCAGAUGCAAGUCUGGAUGUGAAGAUCCAUCUCGUGUAAAAGGAUUAGCCAGCAGUUUCUCAACCAUACCCGAAGGAAUUUCAUAAAAGAUAUUUUCAGUAGGUACCUCAGGUUGAGGAACAACUCCUCGUGCUUCCGUUCGUGGUGAAGAUACCCCGAACAAACUCCUCAAAGGAACAGUUUCCAUAGUGACAAGUGACAAUAAAUUUUGGCACAGUAUAUAAAUGUUUCCUUACCAAAUUCCACUUACCAAAGGCGCUUCACUCCCCGGUAACGACGCCAGAAAAGAGUCUUGAUGACCCACAAGUAUAGGGGAUCAAUCGUAGUCCUUUCGAUAAGUAAGAGUGUCGAACCCAACAAGGAGCGGAAGGCUCUGAUAAACGGUUUUCAAUAAGGUAAUAACUGUAAGCACUGAAAGUAGCGGUAACAAGUGAUGAUGUAGCGAGGUGAAACGUAGCAAGUGAAAAGUAACAAGUAACAAGUAGUAGCAAUGGUGCAGAAAGUGGCCCACUCCCUUUUGUAGCAAGGGACAAGCCUGAACAAAGUCUUAUAGGAGGAAAAACGCUCCCGAGGACACACAGGAAUUUCUGUCAUGCUAGUUUCAUCAUGUUCAUGUGAUUCGUUCGUUACUUUGAUAGUUUGAUAUGUGGGUGGACCGGCGCUUGGGUACUGCCCUUACUUGGACAAGCAUCCCACUUAUGAUUAACCCCUCUCGCAAGCAUCCGCAACUACGAAAUAAGAAUUAAGACAACGUCUAACCAUAGCAUUAAACUAGUGGAUCCAAGUCAGCCCCUUACGAAGCAACACAUAGACUGGGGUUUAAGCUUCUGUCACUCCAGCAACCCAUCAUCUACUUACUACUCCACAAUGCCUUCCUCUAGGCCCAAAUAUGGUGAAGUGUUAUGUAGUCGAUGUUCACAUAACACCACUAGAGGAAAAGACAACAUACAACAUAUCAAAAUACCAAACGAAUACGAAAUUCACAUGACUAUUAUUAGCAUGACUUAUCCCAUGUCAUCAGGAACAAAAGUAACUACUCACAAAGCAUAAUCAUAAUCAUGAUCAGAGGUGUAAUGAAUAGCAUCAAGGAUGUGAACAUAAACUCUUCCACCAAGUAAUCCAACUAGAAUCAACUACAAAGAGUAAUCAACACUACUAGCAACCUUACAAGUACCAAUCGGAGUCGCGAGACGGAGAUUGGUUACAAGAGAUGAACUAGGGAUUGGAGAGGAGAUGGUGCUGAUGAAGAUGUUGAUGAAGAUGCCUCCCCUCUGACGAGACGAGUGUUGGUGAUGACGAUGACGACGAUUUCCCCCUCCGGGAGGGAAGUUUCCCCAGCAGGAUCGUCCUGUUGGAGCUCUAGAUUGGAUCUGCUCAAGUUCCGCCUCGUGGCGGCGGCAUAACCACGAAAAAGCUCCCGAUUGAUUUUUUCUGGAACGAAACCCUUCAUAUAGCAAAAGAGGGGGGCCAGUGGGCCGUCAGGGAGCCCACAAGCCAUGUAGCCGCCACCAGGGGGGUGGCGGCUACCAGGCUUGUGGGUCCCUGGUAGCUCCCCUCUGGUACUUCUUUCGCCCAGUAUUUUUUAUAUAUUCCCAAAAAAUUCCACGUAAAUUUUCACGGCAUUUGGAGCUGUGCAGAAUAGAGGACUCAGAUUUGCUCCUUUUCUAGUCUAGAAUUCCAGCUGCCUGAAUUCUCCCUCUUCAAAUAAACCUUGCAAAAUAAGAGAUAAAAGGCAUAAAUAUGGUACCACAAAGUAAUAUAAUAGCCCAUAAAGCGAUAAAUAUCAACAUGAAAGCAUGAUGCAAAAUGGACGUAUCACUGACCAAAAGCAAUAUGUCCUUGAUGUUGCGCUAGGUGAUGCACCACCCGCUACGACGACCCAAGAUGUUUUAAACGCUUGGCUAUCCCGUAAGGAUGACUACUCAUUAGUUCAAUGUGCAAUUUUGUAUGGCUUAGAACCGGGACUUCAAAUACUUUUGAACGUCAUGGAGCAUAUGCGAUGUUCCAGGAGUUGAAGUUUAUCGUUUAGAAGAAUGCCUGUAUCGAGAGAUAUGAGACCUCUGAUAAAUUCUAUGCUCGCAAAAUGGAGGAGAACGGGUCUGUGAGUGAACACAUACUCAGAAUGUCUGGGUACUCUCACCAUCUAGCUGAGCUGGGGAUUGAAAUCCCGCAAGAGGCUAUCACUAACAGAGUUCUUCAAUCGUUGUCACCUAGCUAUAAGAGCUUCGUGUUGGACUAUAACAUGCAAGGGGUGAAUAAGUCACUCGCCGAGCUAUUCGUGAUGCUGAAAGUCGCAUAGUCAGAAAUCCAGAAAGAGCAUCAAGUGUUGAUGGUCAAUAAGACCACCAGUUUCAAGAAAAACGACAAAGGAAAGAAGGGUAACUCCAAGAAGAGCGGAAAACCUGUUGCCCCUCCGACGAAGAAACCCAAGGCUGGAUCUAAGCCGGAAAGUGAGUGUUAUUAUCGCAAGGGAACUGGUCACUGGAAGCGAAACUGCCCCAAGUAUCUGGCCGAUAAGAAGGCGUCCAAGGCCAAACAAGGUAUAUUUGAUAUAUAUGUUAUUGAUGUGUACCUCACCAACUCUCGUAGUAGUUCCUGGGUAUUUGAUACCAGUUCUUUUGCUCACAUUUGCAACUCAAAACAGGAACUACAGAAUAAACAAAAGGCUGGCGAAGGAUGAAGUGAAGAUGCGCAUGGGAAAUGGUUCCAAGGUUGAUGCGAUCGCCGUCGUCAUGCUCUCACUUCAAUUACCAUCGGGAUUAGCGAUGAACUUAAAUAAUUGUUAUUUAGUGCAUGUGUUGAGCAUGAACAUUAUAUCUGGAUCUUGUGUAUUGUGAGACGGUUACUCAUUUAAGUCAGAGAAUAAUCAUUGUUUUAUUUAUAUGAGUAAUAUCUUUUAUGGUCAUGCACCCAAUGUGAGGGGUUUGUUCAUAUAGAAUCUCGAUUGUGAUGACACUCAUGUCCAUAACAUUGAGACCAAAAGAUGUGGAGUUAAUAAUGAUAGCGUCACUUUCUUGUGGCACUGCCCCUUAGGUCAUAUUGGUGUAAAGCGCAUGAAGAAACUCCAUGCUCAUGGAAUUUUGGAGUCACUUGAUUUUGAAUCACUUGACACAUGCGAACCAUGUCUCAUGGGCAAGAUGACUAAGACUCCGUUCUCCGGAACAAUGGAGCGUGCAACUGACUUGUUGGAGAUCAUACAUACUGAUGUGUGCGGACCGAUGAGCACAGAAGCGCACGGCAGAUAUUGUUAUUUUCUCACCUUCAUUGAUGAUUUGAGUAGGUAUGGUUAUAUCUACUUGAUGAAGCACAAGUUUGAAACGUUUGAAAAGUUCAAGCAAUUUCAGAGUGAAGUUGAAAAUCAUCGUAACAAGAAGAUCAAGUUCCUACGAUCUCAUCGAGGAGGUGAAUAUCUGAGUUACGAGUUUGGUGCUCACUUAAGACAAUGUGGAAUUGUUUCACAGUUGACACCGCCUGGAACACCACAACGCAAUGGUGUGUCCGAACGUUAUCACCCGUGGCGAUGCUUAAGUCCGUUCGAAUCAUGUUAGCAAUAGCUGCAUUUUUCGAUAAUGAAAUCUCGCAGAUGGAUGUCAAAACAACGAUCCUUAAUGGGUUUAUUAAGGAAGAGUUGUAUAUGAUGCAACCCGAAGGUUUUGUCGAUCCAGACAAUGCUGACAAUAUGUGCAAGCUCCAGUGAUCCAUUUGUGGACUGGUGCAAGCAUCUCGGAGUUGGAAUCGGUGCUUUCAUGAGGUGAUAAAGGUGUUUGGGUUUAUACAAGUUUUUGGAGAAUCUUGUAUUUACAAGAAUGUGAGUGGGAGCUCUAUAGCGUUUCUAAUAUUAUAUGUGGUGACAUAUUGCUGAUUGGAAACAAUGUAGAAUUUUUGGAAAGCGUAAAGGAUUACUUGAAUAAAAGUUUUUUAAUGAAGGACGUGGGAGAAGCUGCUUACAUAUUGGGCAUAAAGAUCUAUAGAAAUAGGUCAAGGCACCUGAUAGCACUUUCACAAAGCACAUACCUUGAUCGUGUGAUUUUGUUGCUAUUGUUUUCUGCAUGUCAAGUAUACAUUCCUAUGACCAUGAGAUCAUGUAACUCACUGACACCGGAAGAAUACCUUGUGUGUAUCAAACGUCGCAACUUUACUAGGUGACUAUAAAGGGGCUCUACAGGUAUCUCCAAAGGUGUCCGUUGAGUUAGCAUGGAUCAAGACUGGGAUUUAUCACUCCGUGUGAUGGAGAGGUAUCUCGGGGCCCACUCGGUAAUACAACAUCACAAACAAGCCUUGCAAGCAAUGUGAGUAAAGAGUUAGCCACGGGAUCUUCUAUUAUGGAACGAGUAAAGAGACUUGCCGGUAACGAGAUUGAAAUAGGUAUGUCAAUACCGACGAUCAAAUCUCGGGCACGUAACAUACUGAAGGACAAAGGGAAUGAUAUACGGGAUUGUGUGAAUCCUUGACAUAGAGGUUCAACCGGUAAGAUCUUCAUAGAAUAUGUAGGAUCCAAUAUGGACGUCCAGGUCCCGCUAUUGGAUAUUGACCGGAGAGUGUCUCGGUCAUGUCUACAUAGUUCUCGAACCCGCAGGGUCUGCACACUUAAGGUUCGGUUACGUUUUCAGUAUAGUUGAAUUAUUGAUGUUCGUAACCGAAUGUUGUUCGGAGUCCCGAAUGAGAUCCCGGACCUCACGAGGGUCUCCGGAAUGGUCCGGAAAUGAAGAUUGAUAUAUAGGAUUUGGCUUCCAGAAAGAUUUCAGGCAUUACCGGUAAAGUACCGAGAGUGAUGAAUGGGUUCUCGGGUUUUACCGGGAGGAGCCACCCACCCGGGAGUGGACCUAAUAGGCCCAUGGGUGGCGCACCAGCCCUUAGUGGGCUGGUGAGGCCAUCCCAAUAAGCGUAUUUCGGCCAAAGCAUAAAUAAGAAGGAAAAGGAAAAAAAGAAGGAAGGAGGUGGACAAGAUGGGAAGGAGUCCUCCGCCAAAAACGAAUUGGAGGAGGACUCCUCCCUCUUGGCUCGGUCGACUCCUCCUACUUGGAGUAGGAGGCAAGCCACCCUCUCUCUUGUUCCUCCUAUAUAUAGUGGAGGUUUGAUAGGCUUUUUGCACCCCCAAACCUUUGUGAAACCGUCUAUCCCUCCACUACUUCGUGACACCCCGUAGCUAGUUCGGUACGGCACGGUGAAGCCCUUCUCGAGUAGCUCCACCAUCAUCAUCGCCAUGCCGUCGUGCUGCCGGAGAAUUCAGCUCCCUCUUCGUCUCUCUUGCUGGAUCAAGAAGGCGGAGAUCGUCAUCGAGCUGUACGUGUGCUAAACGCGGAGGUGCUGUCCGUUCGGCGCUAGAUCGGGACGGAUCGUGGGACGGCGACGAUUUGGAUCACGAAAGCGUUCCACUACAUCAACCACGUUUCUUAACGCUUCCCGCUUAGCGAUCUACAAGGGUAAGUGGAUCCGAUCUCCCUCUCGUAGAUGAUCAUCACCAUGAUAGGUCUUCGUGUGCGUAGGAAACUUUUUGUUUCCCAUGCAAUGUUUCCCAACACUUCGUCGGUAGCACCUUGUCUAGCAGUGGCNNNNNNNNNNNNNNNNNNNNNNNNNNNNNNNNNNNNNNNNNNNNNNNNNNNNNNNNNNNNNNNNNNNNNNNNNNNNNNNNNNNNNNNNNNNNNNNNNNNNNNNNNNNNNNNNNNNNNNNNNNNNNNNNNNNNNNNNNNNNNNNNNNNNNNNNNNNNNNNNNNNNNNNNNNNNNNNNNNNNNNNNNNNNNNNNNNNNNNNNNNNNNNNNNNNNNNNNNNNNNNNNNNNNNNNNNNNNNNNNNNNNNNNNNNNNNNNNNNNNNNNNNNNNNNNNNNNNNNNNNNNNNNNNNNNNNNNNNNNNNNNNNNNNNNNNNNNNNNNNNNNNNNNNNNNNNNNNNNNNNNNNNNNNNNNNNNNNNNNNNNNNNNNNNNNNNNNNNNNNNNNNNNNNNNNNNNNNNNNNNNNNNNNNNNNNNNNNNNNNNNNNNNNNNNNNNNNNNNNNNNNNNNNNNNNNNNNNNNNNNNNACCCAACGGGAAGCAAGUGGACAACAGCACCAUGACAAUAUAAUAAUAGGAGAAAGAUGAAUGGGGUGGGUCAGCGAAUUAAAUAAGCAGGCAGAGGUGGGCGCGUGGCUGUGUGACAAGUAGGCCAGGCCGGCCAUAUGCGGACACAGGUAGGGCGGGCGCGUCCGCUUCAUGUCCGCGCCAACGCAUUUUAGUCCAAAUUUAAGCCAGAAAUGAAUCGACGCGGAUGUAAAUCGAACGCGUUAUGAAAAUGGAUCCGUGCGUUGGGACAUCAUUUUUGUCUGAAUGGAUCCAAACGGACGACGACGAACGAAAUGGAUCGCCAUUGAAGUUGCUGUAAUAGUACCGGACACCUAGAGUGCUCUCGCUGGGUGGCCCAGGCAGGCCUGGCGAGUGGGCGGAAGAUACUGAAACUUGUCAUAGAUCGUGUUGGCUUCACAUAAUUCAGGCAUCGAUCCACAUCGAGGCAAGGGGCAGAUGGUACACCCCGUCCCUCUCGGGCAAGCGUACGGCCUCACCUCCGCCCCCAGCGAGCCAAUAAUGCCGCGCUGGUCGGGCCCGCCUGCCAUGCUAUGCUUGUCCCUCCCGGCCAUUGCCUUGCAGAUAGAUGCACAGACGUUGGCGCGCCAAGCAGAAGCAGGCAUGUAAAUCGCGGGGGCCACCACUAGAUUCCCCCGCUCACUGGAUCAAAGCUGGAGGCGAUUGAGUUGUUGCGCAUAGCUAUCUGCAGAUAUGACGGAUUAAUCAAUCAAUCCAUCCAUCGAUCGGGGGCUCCCAUCUCUUGUCAAACCUGUCGAUCGAUGCGCAUUAUGCUAGCUUUCGGCUAGUAGAAAGGUGACAGCGCCAUACAACACGAUCGACAUGGUAGCAGCACCGAGAGAUUCUCUCCCUCGAGUUAGUACCGCCGGCAAAAGAUGAACGCUUGAAGGGUACUCCCUGUCUAAACAAAUAUAAGAUCCUUCAUAUCACUGCUCUUUGCAGAGAAAGUAUAAGUUGUUCGACUAACUUUUCUGUGAAUAGAAUUGAACGUAUAUAGACACGUUUUACUAUGUUUGUUCACUCAUUUCAUUCAGUAUGUUGUCCAUUCUUUUUAUUUUCUUUUGAAGGAUAUUCGUUUUCGCAUGAACACGCAGAGGCGGAGGACCGCGUUGAUGCAGUCACUUGGAAUUGGUCUGCAUUUAGCCAACGAGUUGAGCAAAUUGUCACGGAAUUUGUCAAAUUCUGCAUAGAUAUAGUGGCCAUUGGCAAAGUUAAAAGGUCGUCGUCUACUCUACAAGGAAGAGAUGCACCCCCUCGACCGGAAGAAAAAUAAAAUGGAAGAGAUGCACUGUGGCAUGCGUCAAUGAAGGUGACAUGAGGCCGUUUUAUAUCCUCCGUCAUUCAGUCCGUCGCCCUUGUUUAAAGUUUUGUCCUCUCGUCGGCUCAAGGGCAAAGCGGAUAUGGUUUUAUAUGGUAAUCGUCGCCGUCUUGCUUGUGUAUGUGUACAUGCCUUCACUUGUGCAUAAAUAUUCCCCACCGAAGGGAAAGCUACAAACAUACACUGAUCGCCGAUGCGCACAACACAAGUGAAAGACACGUAUGUAGCAACCUGUGAACCCUGACGUGUCUAACCUAACAUUUUCCUUGUUUUCAGUUAGUUUUGUAUGUGUAUUUCUGUGGAGAAAGGAGGGUUUCCAGUUACUUUUAUGUAAAGGCCAUCCAGCCCCUCAUUUGCACGACGCAUGAUUGGGUUGCUUCUAUUCUAUGGUUAUGCUUUCAGCUCAGGGUGUAGUGUAUGUAUGUACGCAUGGGCAUCGCAAGAAUGCAUAAUUCCACGAGUGGUAGCGCCAAUAGGCAAGCACAUUGUCACAUGGAGAGCUCGCCAGCUUGUCUGUCCGGCCAGUCCCCUUGUCAAACCGGCUCAUGACUCUGUCUUGCACCAAAACAAAACCUAUAAUUGUAUUCGGCAUCGGGAGCUGCUUCAGACUUUUGAGCCAUAGCCCACACUUUUAUACUGCCCGGCGCUGCUGCUUAUAUGCACAUAUAUAUAUUCUCAUCCCUUGCCUCAUUCCAAGCGCUUUGCUUUGGUUUGGUAGGUCUGCUCGCUCACCGCGCGUACCAGCUUGUCUCUUCUUCUUCUUCCUCCUCGUCGCCUUAAAAGGGCCUCUGCACUUUGCAGUGCCCUUUUCACUUCAGAGCUUCACUGUUCAGAGAGACUUCAAAGACCGUAGGUAGUGAGUGAGAUAGGAGGUAGAGAGAGAUGGGGAGGAAGCUGGGGCUGGACAGGGUGCUGGACUGCUUCUCGCUCGCCGUGUGCGCCAACGCCUGUGUCUGCAUACAAGCCGUUGAAGACGAGGACGAGGAGAACGAGGGGAAGGCCCUGGUGAGCGCUCAGCUGGACGAGCUGCUCAAGCUCAAGGACUUGGGCGGCGGGGCCAAGACCCUUGCUUUCCAUCUGGAGCCAAAGGUAAGGAAAUAACUGACGCCGAUUCUAUCUACUAUCUCUCUGAGAUGCCUCUCCACAACAUGUAAUAUUCACCAUGCCACCCCCGUUGAUGCAGACAGUGGAGCUGAGGGUGUCCAUGCACUGCUAUGGAUGCGCGAGGAAAGUCCAGAAGCACAUCUCCAAGAUGGAAGGUACGAGACAGAUGAGAACUGAACCUUGUGAAUCAUUUUUUCGGGGCUGUGUUGGGAUUCGUUUUUUUUUUUAAAGUUAGUGUUGGGAUUCUUUUGACAGGGCCUAGUAGUGCUAAAAGUGUACAAUCAUGCUGGGGUGCCUGUCGUCAUAAAGUUCCUAUCAUUUCACUCCAGAAAACAGUUGCAGAUUUAUUCAGCUGAUCAGGCUGUAAACUUUGCUGAUUGUUCACGGAGGGACAGCUUGAUGGCUUGUGCUUUCCUUGAUUAUCUCAAAUUCUCAAUGCGACUGCUUGCCAACUUACACGACAUACGGCGGAUUUCUAAUUUUCUCUUCCCUUUCAACGCCACCUCAAUGUGUUGAUAAUUCAGACAUGUCCAAGCGUGCAUUUCUUACUGCUAGUAGUAUUUGAUAGAAAAAAGCAGGGUGUCCAUUUCUUAUUGGUGAGGCGGAGCAUUAGUAUAUCCAGGAUCUCGAAGUAAUCAACGACUGUGAAAUGUGGCGCGGAUCUGUAGACCGGAUAAUUUUUCAAAGUAGAGUAGCGUCGUGGCUACCACAUGGGCGGGGGUGUACUCUCACGGGGAUAGGAGCACAGCGUCUCAGAAGUCCAGAAGCAUUUGGAGCAGAGAUAAGUCGCGGCCUGUCAGACGCGGGAAGGGAAAAACGCCCUGCGGCAGGUUGACCCCGGUGCGUCUCCAAUCAUUUUUUCAAACGAAACCCCAAAUUUCUACUCUGCUCUGCCAUCCUCGUUGCCGGGGUAGCGGAGAACAGUGAACACAGCCACGCUGCCGUGAGCUCCGGAAAGCUCAUGGCUACUACACCAGCACUGUCGUGGCAUGUUACGGAAUAUCGCAGCCGGUGACGAGUGGGCAUCCGUCUCCAUUCGAUCCUGUGCGCCUGAGUUGGCUCCGGUGUCGUUUUGGCCGAUGCAAUGCAUGGACCGGGUUCGCGCUGCCGCUGCCGCUGCGUGCAUGCAUGCUUGGGCACAUCUGCACAUGUUGCUACUCUGCGCAUGUGCAGGGCUGCCUGCCUUUUCUGGAAAAACUUUUGGUGGCAGUGGCAGCACCGCCAGUCGGUGGCCAAGAUUUGGUACUACUGCUGCUGUCCGCCGCGCUGAUAAUUGAGGUCGCCAAGCUGCCAUCACCUUCACCGUACGGCUCACUGUCGGAGCAACGACAGGAGAAGGCGGUGGAGGCAUCUGCAUCGCUAGAUAUUAGUAUUACUACAUCCAAUCUGCCACAAAAACUGUGACAUUUAUUUUGGAUAGGAGAGAGUGAUAGUUUUCUGUUAAAAUGUGCUGAUGCACGAGUCGAGUCCUGCUCCGAUCAUCUCUAACAUUUGCUUCUUUUCUUGUGUGUCUAGGUGUGUCAUCGUUUGAGGUGGAUUUGGAGAACAAGAAGGUGGUCGUGACGGGGGACGUGACGCCCUAUGAGGUGCUGGCGAGCGUCUCCAAGGUGAUGAAGUUUGCGGAGCUGUUGGUGGCACCCAAGUCCCCGCCUCCGAGUAGAUAGAUCAUGAUGAUGAUGAUAAGCUGAUAGGAUGGAUGCGACACAUUUCACUGAUGAAAUCAAAAUAUAUGUCGUGAUUGUCAUCGAUCUCACAAAAGGCACGCGUAUGUAUCAGCAUACGCAACCAUGGCAAUGAAGAAAUUGUGGCAAAUUGUAACUAGGAAAUCAAGGAAGAUGAGGGUGGUCGAGUCUAAUUGGUUGAUCAGACAACUAUCCAUACCUCAUAUGUGCGUACAUACGGGUAGUGUUGAUAUAAAUUGAUGAGUAUGAGGUAUCUCUUAAUGCUUGUACUCUCUCUGUAUCGAAAUACUUGUAGU